Molecule: ribosomal RNA, 258 nt
Filed under: uncultured Gardnerella sp.
Lineage: Bacteria; Bacillati; Actinomycetota; Actinomycetes; Bifidobacteriales; Bifidobacteriaceae
Description: partial 16S ribosomal RNA
Rfam family: Bacterial small subunit ribosomal RNA
Source: RNAcentral
CGGAACGGGUGAGUAAUGCGUGACCAACCUGCCCCAUGCUCCAGAAUAGCUCUUGGAAACGGGUGGUAAUGCUGGAUGCUCCAACUUGACGCAUGUCUUGUUGGGAAAGUGUUUAGUGGCAUGGGAUGGGGUCGCGUCCUAUCAGCUUGUAGGCGGGGUAAUGGCCCACCUAGGCUUCGACGGGUAGCCGGCCUGAGAGGGCGGACGGCCACAUUGGGACUGAGAUACGGCCCAGACUCCUACGGGAGGCAGCAGACG